UAAUAGGAAAAAUUUCAUUGGCGACCUC
Molecule: non-coding RNA, 28 nt
Filed under: Bombyx mori (domestic silkworm)
Lineage: Eukaryota; Metazoa; Arthropoda; Insecta; Lepidoptera; Bombycidae
Source: RNAcentral